Molecule: ribosomal RNA, 849 nt
Filed under: Triticum aestivum (bread wheat)
Lineage: Eukaryota; Viridiplantae; Streptophyta; Magnoliopsida; Poales; Poaceae
Description: partial small subunit ribosomal RNA
Source: RNAcentral
AUGGUCGAUGUAGUGGCGAUCAUCCUAGUGCGAGGGGUUCAACCACUUCAAUAUAGAGGGCUCUCGAUGUGGCUCUACAACGGGGAGGACGACGCCUCCCGCUGUGGUCAGAAAGGUCCGGACAUCCUUGCCGCUCUAGCCAAGAUACUGGCCGAGCUGUUCAAAGGGGAGGAAGAGGAGUUUCUUCACAUCAAUCACAGAGAUGGAUAUUCUAUGUAUAAUCCUCCUAGUUGGCAUUGGCGAAAAAUCACCGAGGGGUUUCACAGCCCCGCCCCACAGCCUGAGAACCACAACCAGGAGCUGGAUCCUGGGUUCGAAGAAGAUCCAGAUAUAUUUGUGGUACUCGCGGAAGGGGUGUUUUACCAGGCGAGCUAUGAUGGCACGGAAGUGGCCAUUAUCGCCGAUUACCCUGGUCUUCUUCCUGCUUCCCACGGGAGGCGUUCAGCGCGUCACGCUACUCCGGGGGCGGCUCCAAAAAGAGCGGCUCUGGCGCCGAGCAAGGCUUCCAAAAGGAAGGUCAGUGAAGACACGACCGGCCCCCCGUCAAAGAGGAAGAAGGUUCACCGGACUAAGCCCGAGGGUCCGGCCAGCCGUGCUCCCAGCGCCUGGGUUUUAGACCCCGUUGUAGAGGCGGAAGCCGAUAUAGGAACCGUGUCGAACUGUCCUUCGGCCGAGGGUUCGGAGGAUAUGUCCGUUACCAACUCGGAAGUGGAGAGCGCCAUGAAUAAUCGGCGCUGUAGGGCUAUUUUACGAGACCCAGAGUUCUCAGAAGAGGCAUUCCAUGCCUUCAGUUUGGCUGAUGCGUACAUCCGAGCUGCUCGAAACGGGCUUAGUAGAGCCACCAAGUAG